Molecule: ribosomal RNA, 654 nt
Filed under: uncultured archaeon
Lineage: Archaea
Description: bacterial SSU rRNA
Rfam family: Archaeal small subunit ribosomal RNA
Source: RNAcentral
AUGGGGCUGCGGCUGAUCAGGCAGUUGGCGAGGUAACGGCUCACCAAACCUUUGACCAGUACGGGCCAUGAAAGUGGUAGCCCGGAGAUGGGCACUGAGACAGGGGCCCAGGCCCUACGGGGCGCAGCAGGCGCGAAAACUCCACACUGUACGAAAGUACGAUGGGGUUAUCUCGAGUGCAGUCCGAUAAGGGCUGCUUUUCCAUAGAGUAAUAUCCUGUGGGAAUAAGAGGGGGGCAAGACUGGUGUCAGCCGCCGCGGUAACACCAGCCCCUCGAGUGGUGGGGACUUUUAUUUGGCCUAAAGCGUCCGUAGCUGGCUGUAUCCGUCCCCCGUUAAAUCCAGCGUCCUAAACGUUGGACUGCGGGUGAUACCAUACAGCUAGAGGGUGGGAUAGGUGAGCGGUAUUUCUGGGGUAGGGGCGAAAUCCUUUGAUCCCAGGAGGACCACCAGUGGCGAAGGCUGCUUACUAGAACACGCCUGACGGUCAGGGACGAAAGCUGGGGCAGCGAACCGGAUUAGAUACCCGGGUAGUCCCAGCUGUAAACGAUGCUAGCUAGGUGUUGGGUCGGCCACGCGCCGCCCCAGUGCCGCAGGGAAGCCGUUAAGCUAGCCGCCUGGGGAGUACGGCCGCAAGGCUGAAACUUAAAGGAAU